CUCGGUGGGAGUAUUUUUGUAC
Molecule: microRNA, 22 nt
Filed under: Gyrodactylus salaris (gyrodactylosis fluke)
Lineage: Eukaryota; Metazoa; Platyhelminthes; Monogenea; Gyrodactylidea; Gyrodactylidae
Description: gsa-miR-278-3p
Gene: gsa-miR-278-3p
Source: miRBase by way of RNAcentral